This 66-nucleotide transfer RNA is filed under the name Tylothais aculeata. RNAcentral describes it as "tRNA-Trp". The record is from RNAcentral. Lineage: Eukaryota; Metazoa; Mollusca; Gastropoda; Neogastropoda; Muricidae.
AAGGUUUUAAGUUACUAAAACUAUAAGCCUUCAAAGCUUAAAACAAAAAGAUAUUUUUAAACCUUG